AACGAACGCUGGCGGCAUGCCUAACACAUGCAAGUCGAACGAGAGCUCCGGGUCUUGUGGCGCAUGGGUGCGUAACGCGAGGGAAGCUGCACAUAGGGUCGGAAUAACUCUCCGAAAGGGGUGCUAAUACCGGAUAAUGUCUACGGCCCAAAAAUUUAUCGCACUUGGAUGGGCCCGCGUUGGAUUCGCUAGUUGGUUGGGUAAAAGCCUGAUAAGGCGACCAUUCGUAGCUGGUCUGUGAGAAGGGGCAGCCACUCCUGGACUGAGACGCGGCCCGGAAUCCUACGGAAGGCGGCAGUGCGUGAUAUAGCACAGUCGGCUGAGUCCUGAACGACCUCGGCCGCGUGAGCGAUGUUGUCCGUAGGGUAGUAAUGCGCUUUUACCCGGGCUGAUAAUGACGGUACCGGGAGAAUAAGCUCCGGCUAACUACGUG
RNAcentral lists this ribosomal RNA (433 nucleotides) under uncultured bacterium. RNAcentral's name for it is "partial 16S ribosomal RNA". It matches the Rfam family "Bacterial small subunit ribosomal RNA", at positions 29 to 507 of the family's 1533-position model. The record is from RNAcentral.